RNAcentral lists this ribosomal RNA (468 nucleotides) under uncultured bacterium. RNAcentral describes it as "partial 16S ribosomal RNA". It matches the Rfam family "Bacterial small subunit ribosomal RNA", at positions 28 to 507 of the family's 1533-position model. The record is from RNAcentral.
GACGAACGCUGGCGGCGUGCUUAACACAUGCAAGUCGAACGGAAAGGCCCUGCUUUUGUGGGGUGCUCGAGUGGCGAACGGGUGAGUAACACGUGAGUAACCUGCCCUUGACUUUGGGAUAACUUCAGGAAACUGGGGCUAAUACCGGAUAGGAGCUCCUGCUGCAUGGUGGGGGUUGGAAAGUUUCGGCGGUGGGGGAUGGACUCGCGGCUUAUCAGCUGGUUGGUGGGGUAGUGGCUUACCAAGGCUUUGACGGGUAGCCGGCCUGAGAGGGUGACCGGCCUCCUUGGGCCUGCGGUACGGCGCAGCCUCCUACGGGGGGCAACAGUGGGAAAUAUUGCACAGUGGGCGGGAGCCUGUUGCAGCAGCGCCGCGUGCGGGAAGACGGCUUUCGGGUUGUAAACCGCAUUCGCCUGUGACGAAGCGUGAGUGACGGUAAUGGGUAAAGAAGCACCGGCUAACUACGUG